GAAGGUGAUGAUUGUUAUUUGUCGCCCCAGUCUUAGUUGCGUUCAUGGAUGCAACAUGGUGAUUGACAUGUCAUUUCUGAUUC
Small nucleolar RNA from Ipomoea nil (Japanese morning glory), 83 nucleotides. It matches the Rfam family "Small nucleolar RNA U31b". Lineage: Eukaryota; Viridiplantae; Streptophyta; Magnoliopsida; Solanales; Convolvulaceae. The record is from Rfam.